Molecule: unclassified non-coding RNA, 329 nt
Organism: Pongo abelii (Sumatran orangutan)
Lineage: Eukaryota; Metazoa; Chordata; Mammalia; Primates; Hominidae
Rfam family: Metazoan signal recognition particle RNA
About the family: The signal recognition particle (SRP) is a universally conserved ribonucleoprotein. It is involved in the co-translational targeting of proteins to membranes.
Source: Ensembl
GCCGGGCGUGGUGGCGUGCACCUGUAGUCCCAGCUACUCGGGAGGCUGAGGCAGGGGAAUCACUUGAACCCAGGAGGCAGAGGUUGCAGUGAGAUCGUGCCACUGCACUCCAGCCUGGCAACAGAGUGAGACUUGGUCUCAUAAUAAUAAUAAUAAUAAUAAUAAUAAAAUACAAAAAUUAGCCAGGUGUGGUGGUACAAGCCUAUAGUCCCAGCUACUCAGGAGGCUGAGGUGGGAGGAUCACUUGAGCCGAGGAGUUCAAGGCUGCAGUGAGCUGAGAUUGUGUCACUGCACUCUAGCCUGGGUGACAGAGUGAGACCCUGCCUCAA